UGAGGAAUCUUGCGCAAUGGGGGAAACCCUGACGCAGCAACGCCGCGUGAGUGAGGAAGGUCUUCGGAUCGUAAAGCUCUGUCAGUUGGAAAGAAAUGUCUGGGAGUCAAUCCCUUUCAGGCUUGACGGUACCAACAGAGGAAGCACCGGCUAACUCCGUGCCAGCAGCCGCGGUAAUACGGGGGGUGCAAGCGUUGUUCGGAAUUAUUGGGCGUAAAGAGCGUGUAGGCGGCCGGAUAUGUCAGAUGUGAAAGCCCCGGGCUUAACCCGGGAAGUGCAUUGGAAACUGUCCGGCUCGAGUAGGGGAGAGGGAAGUGGAAUUCCUGGUGUAGAGGUGAAAUUCGUAGAUAUCAGGAGGAACACCGGUGGCGAAGGCGACUUCCUGGCCCUAUACUGACGCUGAGACGCGAGAGCGUGGGUAGCAAACAG
Molecule: ribosomal RNA, 429 nt
Filed under: uncultured bacterium
Lineage: Bacteria
Description: bacterial SSU rRNA
Rfam family: Bacterial small subunit ribosomal RNA
Source: RNAcentral